RNAcentral lists this non-coding RNA (30 nucleotides) under Rattus norvegicus (Norway rat). Lineage: Eukaryota; Metazoa; Chordata; Mammalia; Rodentia; Muridae. The record is from RNAcentral.
UGUGAUUAAUUGCCAGAUAUGUUAGGAUCA